AUUGUUAGCCGUGACCUCUCGGCCUUCUCCACUUCGCUGGGCCUCCUCUCCUCCUUCCAGCUUUGAAGUGGACGUCCCUUAUUCUAUCAUUUAUAAGUCCUUUUCUCCAUGUUUGGAUAUUUCGUAACUUGGUGGCAUGUCAAAAGUUAAUUGGAUGUGAUUUUUUUUCCCCCCUGAUACAUAAAAUAUUUAAUGCAAGUGGUAGUGUCUCCCCUUCAGACAGGGUAACUCCUCAUGGGAAACCAACCAAAAUGUUGAGACCUCAGAGUAAAAUUAGAGGGUAAAGCAGUCCCGCUGAGAAUUUUUCAAAAUCAUUUCCUCUUAUGUGAAGUUCAACUCUCAUCCAGGGCAAGGACAUAGACUCAUUUGUAUGUCCCACUUGGUAUUUAAUCCAUGCCUGGCUUCCUUGAACUGUGUGUGCUCUGAGGGCUGUUGUGUGUGUGUGUGCCACUUGCCUGAUUGCACAGGAUUACAGAGCACAGGUUUUGCUGUCCAUACACAUCAGAGAAGACAAGGCUCCUUCCUAAGCUCAUCCUUUCUCCAGCUCUGGCUUUUUUCCAGGGCUCCAAAUGGCUGUAGGUAUACAAAAGCUUUCUGCAUCUGGAAGGAGGCUGGCCACGGGGUGGUACGGGGUACUGGCAACAUCAGGACCCAGACCAGAGCUGAGUAUAUGCCUAGAUGAGUUCUGCCUUGAAGACUCUUUUCUAGUUUAGUUUUAGAAAAGGCCAAGGUUAGUUAAAUGUUUAGCUCUGAGAGUUAAUAAGACGUGGCCACAUUUCAAGCUGCUUGCUUUCUCCAUCAGCUUCUUCUUAGUUGCUGAACAGCAGUGGGAAUGAAUGCGUUGCACUUAAGCUGGAUGGAUGUGUGCACCACAGCUGUGCUGUGCAAUACUCCUGCCCACUCACGCUGUGUGUUCGGAUGCCCGCAGCCAUAGUGUCUCUAGCAGACAGCUCACAUUGCAAACAAGAUGUCUGCGGGACCCUUGACUGGCUUCUCUCAUGAUGCCCUCACCAAUGAAGGUUAUUGUGUUAGGCAAAUCCCCUUGACCUCAGGAGAACUCGGAGAGAACCACUGAGCAGCAGUGCCCCCACCCACCCCGCCCCGCUCAGCCCAGAGCUUAGCUGCUGAAAUCCCCCCAGCAACCCUGUGCUUCCUGCCCACGGUGGAGGCUCCACCCACUCAGCACACAGGGGACUCCAUGGACAGCUCUCACCAAGAUUGCUGGGAAAUGAUCCAGCGAACAGGCAAGCAACGGAAAUUGAAGUUUCUCUGCUGUGAGCAUCAUCCUGUUGUAGGCCUGGUAUAGACUGAUGCAUUCAGGACUGGACAUUUAUGGGGUUCUCUCCUACCAGAAACCCUGGGCACCAGCUGCAGAGCAAGUCCCUGGACAGCAACAAUUGGUGUAAGAGGGAAGUGUGGCCAGGGAGCUCAGGGCUGACCUCCCAACUGCUCCUUGGCCCUUCCAAUUUCAUAGUCCCAUUUUAUUUCCAAGUGGGAGAAUCUAAUGAGCAGUUAACAUUUCAUAGAAAAAAUUCAUGAUGUCACUAAUAAAUGACUCUUUGGACUUCCAGCCUUGAUAAACAUUUGAACCCCUGAGGAUUGACACUCUGUGUAGUGCAUCCCUAAGCCUCCGUUUCUCCUCACGUCAGAUGCUGGGCUCCUGGAUAAAACUGCUUACUGCCAAGUCUGAUGACCUGAGAUCUGUCCUCAGCACCCACAGGGUAGAAGGGGGGAAUUCACUUCUGCAAGUUGUCAUCUGUCUCUACACACGCACUAUAAUGCAUGGAGAGAGAGAGAGAGAGA
Peromyscus maniculatus bairdii (prairie deer mouse) is the source of this 1803-nucleotide non-coding RNA. The record is from RefSeq and is a predicted model, not a curated record. NCBI's taxonomy places the organism in Eukaryota, Metazoa, Chordata, Mammalia, Rodentia, Cricetidae.